This 72-nucleotide transfer RNA is filed under the name Grosmannia clavigera kw1407. Its description in RNAcentral is "tRNA-Arg (TCT) (tRNA-Arg-TCT-2-1)". It matches the Rfam family "tRNA". From Rfam's summary of the family: Transfer RNA (tRNA) molecules are approximately 80 nucleotides in length. The record is from Rfam by way of RNAcentral. Lineage: Eukaryota; Fungi; Ascomycota; Sordariomycetes; Ophiostomatales; Ophiostomataceae.
GUUCCGUUGGCACAAUGGCAGCGCGCAAGACUUCUAAUCUUGAGGUUGCGGGUUCGAGUCCCGCACGGAAUG